CUUCGCUUACGCCGCUUCCUUUUGUCUUUCAUAUUUUGGUUUGGUUGGAAGUCUAAAUGCAGAAGCUCUUCUAUCACAGUAAGAAGAGAUCCAGCAACAAAUGCAUACAUCAAAAAUCAAUGGCGGCUGCUGAUCAAAUAAAGAUUUUAUCUUUCACAGCAAAAACAUUACAUAAUCAUCACAAAAUGAGUCAUUCGAUUCAACAUCCAAUGAUUUUCCAUAGAGAACAUGACAAAUAUGCAGAAAACGAUGUGAAAGUUGAUGGAAAUGAUACUAAUGUGGGUGGCUUGGUUGAACGACUUCCUAGAAGCUCCCGUCAAAGGAAGCGAAAAAAAUUAUUGAAGAUUCUAACGAUUCAGUUAUUCUCCCUAGGAAACCAGGGAGACCUAAAAAACACAUUGUGAAAAGUGAUUCAAUUGAUACUAAUGUGAAUAGUUUUGCUGAUCGGCUUCGUGAAAGAUCAAGUAUAAAGAAGCCAACUUAUAUUCUUGAUGAGUUAGAAGAAGAUUCAGCAAACAUGGGAACUCUACAGAAACAAAAUUGAAAGAAGUGACACUAAAAGAAGAGAUCCGGGAAAUGUAUACAAGUAUGUUAUCUCAAUGCAUAAAAAAUCGAGGGAUGCUGAUGCUAAUCAAAUGAACGAUGUCAUCUUUCACAGCAAAAACAUUACACUGUCUAUCAGUACUCUCGAAGAGUUAUACAAAGUAAAAAAGUUAAGAAUAUGUAAAUACAUCAUCGAGACAUCAGAAAACAUGUUCAAGCUGCUCCUUUUUUAAUUGUUCGAGUGCCUAUUACUUUUAUGUAAUUUUUUACUAAAUUUUUCAUAUGUUUUUGUUUCAUUUUAAUAUGUUUGAAGAGAACAAAUGAUAUUAUUUGAGAGUACAUGCAAAAGUAACUAAAUCAUGUUAAAUGUAUUCCGAUUU
Vigna umbellata (rice bean) is the source of this 923-nucleotide long non-coding RNA. RefSeq lists it as uncharacterized. The record is from RefSeq and is a predicted model, not a curated record. NCBI's taxonomy places the organism in Eukaryota, Viridiplantae, Streptophyta, Magnoliopsida, Fabales, Fabaceae.